This 646-nucleotide long non-coding RNA is filed under the name Setaria italica (foxtail millet). RNAcentral describes it as "long non-coding RNA (SITA_LNC000909)". Lineage: Eukaryota; Viridiplantae; Streptophyta; Magnoliopsida; Poales; Poaceae. The record is from RNAcentral.
GAUGGGAAGUAUGAGGAGGCAUUGGAGAAGUUCGAGUCAGUUUUGGGAUCGAAACCGGAGAGCAAUGAGGCUUCCAUUGCCAGCUACAAUGUUGCCUGCUGCUACUCCAAACUCGACCGGGUUCGAUACUUAUCUAAUCUCUCACUAUGCAUAGCAUGUCUGCUACUGAAUACUCAUAUGAGCAUUCCUCUGCCCAGAUACAAGCAGGGCUUUCUGCAUUGGAAGACGCCCUGAAAGCAGGAUAUGAAGACUAUAAGGUAACUAGAGAAUAGCUCUGUUGCCACAUGAGAAUCAAUGGUUCCUAACUAGUGACACACAUCUUAUUUUAAUUCCUACAGCGAAUCCGCACCGACCCGGAUCUCGAAAACUUGAGGAAAUCGGAGCAAUUCGAUCCCCUGAUGAAGAACUACGACGAGUCGUUCAUCAACGAGAACGCCCUCAAUGCCAUCAAAUCCUUGUUCAGAUUCGGCAAGAACUGAGCAACUGAAACAUGGUAGCAGCAGCAGGCAAUGCCACUCUUGUCUGGUCUUGCAGAGCCUACUGUGCUAAGCUCAUGCCCGUACAGUUCGUUCCCCUCUCCAGUAGGUUGCGGUUCACACCUGUAGCUUAGCAAUUCUUGGUGAGACAUGUACUUAACCAUUUGAUG